AGUGCACUAUUUUCAUGUGCACCACAUGCUUGAUACAAAUUUUCCCUAUCACAUUAUUAACAUUGAUUAAUGUUAUCACGUCUAAUAAAUGUUGCAACAGAGACAUAAUAAUAAGUGAAAAAGUUUUCUAUACCAACCAGGAAAUUCUAUUAGCAAAGGAAUGGAAAAUCAGUAACCAUCAUUGAGUUGAAAACUAUUGUAGUUAUGAAGAAGGAAAUAAGCAACAUCAUAGUCUAAUCAGCAAGAAAAUUCUAUAAAGAGGAAAUGGAAAUAGCAUAAUCAACUGACUAGAAUUUUUAACUCUCCUUGUGAUUCAAGUCAUAUUCUCUUAAA
Molecule: unclassified non-coding RNA, 333 nt
Filed under: Hevea brasiliensis (rubber tree)
Lineage: Eukaryota; Viridiplantae; Streptophyta; Magnoliopsida; Malpighiales; Euphorbiaceae
Source: RNAcentral